AACGAACGCUGGCGGCAUGCCUAACACAUGCAAGUCGAACGAGACCUUCGGGUCUAGUGGCGCACGGGUGCGUAACGCGUGGGAACCUGCCCUUAGGUUCGGAAUAACUCCCCGAAAGGGGUGCUAAUACCGGAUAAUGUCUUCGGACCAAAGAUUUAUCGCCUUUGGUUGGGCCCUCGUUGGAUUAGCUAGUUGGUAGGGUAAAAGCCUACCAAGGCGACGAUCCAUAGCUGGUCUGAGAGGAUGAUCAGCCACACUGGGACUGAGACACGGCCCAGACUCCUACGGGAGGCAGGAGAGGGGAAUAUUGGACAAUGGGCGAAAGCCUGAUCCAGCAAUGCCGCGUGAGUGAUGAAGGCCUUAGGGUUGUAAAGCUCUUUUACCCGGGAUGAUAAUGACAGUACCGGGAGAAUAAGCUCCGGCUAACUCCGUG
RNAcentral lists this ribosomal RNA (433 nucleotides) under uncultured bacterium. RNAcentral's name for it is "partial 16S ribosomal RNA". It matches the Rfam family "Bacterial small subunit ribosomal RNA", at positions 29 to 507 of the family's 1533-position model. The record is from RNAcentral.